Molecule: long non-coding RNA, 10911 nt
Organism: Enhydra lutris kenyoni (northern sea otter)
Lineage: Eukaryota; Metazoa; Chordata; Mammalia; Carnivora; Mustelidae
Exons: 2
Source: RefSeq, a predicted model, not a curated record
CCCGCCCUUUUUGGAGGCUGUUUUCCCUCCUGCCCUGCCCCUCCCACCAAGGUGCUGUGUCACUCCCUGUCGGUGGUCUGCUUCUCCUGCCUUUGCUACUCUUGGCCCUCCUGCUGUCACUGUGGAUGCUUUAGCCUCCAAAAGACUGUCCGCUGCCUCCUCUUUCUGAUGUUAAAAUAACAUUUCGAAUAUUUCAUUUUCUGUCUUUAUUAAGCAGUACUUUGCAGGUACUCCCCCUUGAAAACCCAGAAGUAUUUUCAGAAGUCUAAACCUCCAGGGAAUCCUCUUUCUAGGCUUACAUAGAAAUAAAUGUCUUUUUAAAAAAAGCCUGUGCCUACUUAAAGCACAAUGAAAAGGAGGUUCUCAGUGUGUGUGAGGUGCAUCUGGGAAGUGUGUGAAAAAGGCACAGAACCCCAGAUUGUUCAGGAAAAGGCAGGGCAGAGUCAAGUCCCUUGCAGAAAUGGCGAAAGGAACUGUAAGAAGUGAAUCGAAGGAGGAACUGAUUUUAGAAUAAAAAUGUCACUUAAAACAACAGGGGCACCUGGGCGGCUCAGUUGACUAAAUGCCAGACUCCCGGUCUAGGCUCAGGUCGUUGCCCACACUGGGCUCCAUGCCCGCUGGGGAGCCUACUUGAAAUGCAAAAGCGAAACAGCAAAUGCCUGUCAGACCUCUUGGCCCGUGUUACACGUGGAUGAAAAUCUGUGUGAGUAGAACGACUUCUGUGUAUGGAUUCUGCAAAUCACUUUUCCUAAAACAUAUGAAGUUCCCUGUUUCACAGAUGUGCAAUGUUUAAUGCUUAACUCUUCUGGAAAACCCCAGUGAUCUCUUCUGAGGAGGUCGAGAUACCAGGGAGCCAGUGCCAAGCUGUGCGGAGAAUAGACAGGGCAGCUGACGAUUAAAGCCUUUGUCAUUCAGUUUAUAACUUGACGCCUGGAAAAGCACAAGACCAAACUGGUCCGGCGGGCUGUUGGGGAGGGUGUGGGGGUGGGGGCCGCUGGCAGGGGAGGGGUGCAGUAGGGUAAGGUGAGGGCCCUGCCCACGUGGGGCCGGUGCAUGUCAGCACGUCUGCACCAGGUCUUGCUGGGCCCAGCAGCUCUCCGGAGGCCUGAGGGGACUUACUGGCUUGUCUCUUUCCAUGGUCAGUUGAAGUACUUACUAGGGGAACGGGUUAAUUCGGUCUGAACUAUAGAUGGGUUCAUUGCAUUGAAGUUCCAUAUCCGCAAACCAUUUGAUCAUAUCACGCCUCUGGUUCCCAGGCCUUCUGGCCUCCUAUGUAUUUAAGUACUUUGAACGCUCAGGACUAGCCAGGGCUAUUCGUGGAGGAGAACCCCCGCUGGAGUUUGUCAGUCACAUUGAUUUCUUGGGUCUAAGCCUGGGUCAGGAGCGAAGUCGUCAGAACGUGGUUAAUAGAAGGAAGAGGAUACAGGCCUUGAAAUACCUGUGGUCUUAGCCGUCAUUCUCCUAGUAACCAGGGAUGCUUGAGCUUAAUUUUGAACCUCAAAAUCAUUUUUUUGUACUUAGCUUGUAAGAGCUUUUCUAUAAUAAGAAACGCCUUGAUCGUGUGCCCGUAAAUGGUGCUAACACACGGUACCCUUUCCGGGGGCCACCGCAGCCCACGGGACCUGCGCUUGCUUCUCAGUAUCCCCACGUGGGCACAAAGCCAAAAUGAAUGUAUCCAGUGAGCUCCCCUCAUUUCCGUUGUUUUUAGAGAAUGUUUUGCUAUAGUUACCUGCAUCGUAGCAGCUUCUGUUGUGAAUUUGGAGAGGAUAACGGCCAACUGCUGCCUUUGGCAACGCGUCUUCCUUCCCCGGGGGGCCUGCGCUGGGAGGGUGGGGGCAUGGCAGGGAGCUCACCCCGGUGAGCCUGGCCCUGCUCCUCUGGGCCCGUUUAGCAAAGUCUGUUUACACUGUAAAAUGUCAGAUUUGUCGAGUACCUGUGCUCAGAGAAACGCGCUCCUGAGGCUCCUGUCCGUGUGGGCCGAGCUCCCCACUGUGGUUGUGGGGGUGCCUGCCUGGGGGCCGGGGUGGGGUUCCCUCUGUGACUUCAUGACUCAGGGCUUCACUGUGGAUCCCUUUUAGUAAACCCAGCCACCGAGGGAUGUACACAUAAAUAACGAAAAAUAAACGUAGAAAAUAAAAGAUCAGAAGCCUGGCUGUGUUGCUGUGUUGCUCUGUUGCCUUUGAGGACUCUGGGGGACUCGGGCCCAGUACUGUGACUUUCUGUCCCCAGCCCCGGACGGGCCUGUGCUGCCCCAGGACUUGACGGUGGCAGAUGCAUCAGUAAGUGCUGUGGGGCACCCCGGCGCUUCGUUCCUGCCGCGGGUGUGGGUGCAGUGCCAGUCCUCUCGGCUGCCGUUGGUGGGGUGAGGCGCGCGCACUGACCGAGCCCCCGGGCAAGGGCCCGGGGCCCUGCAGAGCCAGGCCGCAGCCGCAGUCCUGACCCAGCCUCGGGUGCCUGCCCGGGAGAGGCCUGCGGGGCCUGUGACAUUCUGGGUGUUCACCGACGGGCGUGCACCUAGGAGCGGCGGAGUGGGAAUGACGCUGUCCGCGCUGCGUGUGAGUUAGACUGCCCUGAAGGACGGGAAUGAUCGGAAGGUGGGGAGGACCGGGCUCCCAGAGGUAGUCCUUGGGGUCAGAGAAUGGAGUUUGAGUCAGCAGAGACCUGCCUUCCUGUGAGUCUGAGAACCGAGUCCGGGAGUCCGUUUGCGGGAUGGUGCCGCGCCGCUGAAGAACGCUUGUUGGGUGCGCGCCCGUCAGCAAGCAGCCCCGGGUGGCAAGUGGGAAGCCGGAGACCUUCCUGGGAUCACAGCGGCAGCAGACCGCGUUCCUCCUCCGCCACACCAUUCGGCGGGCUGAUCGACAAGACAUCUGCUCUAAAUACACUUUGCCUCCACUUGCCUGAAUCACGGUGUUCUCAGUUCUCAGGGCUGUGUUUCUGGCACUUCUCCAUGGCCUCCCACUGUCCUGCAAGCGUAGAGAAAAGCAGGGACGUAGGCUCUGGGCCCUAGGAGGCCUCAGAAGAUGUUCACCCCGUCAAAGGAGAAAAUCCCACCCGUGUCCUCUGUAGUUAGGAUGGGUGUGCAUUUCAACAGUCCAUUUUCACUUCUCUGUCUUGCUGGAGACCUUCUGGGCCUCUGAAUUAUUGGUCUCCCCUUCCCACUUCUCCGACCCCUGCCUCUUGUCUGGGCACAGAGUGGGUGGCCUGGUAAUCCCCUUCUGACUUUCUGGAUCUGGAGGGUUCAUUCUAGACUUCUGGCCCAGAAGAGGCAGAACAGAUUUUGGCUUUUGGGGUGGAAAAGCCCAGAGUGACCCAGGCUUCCCAGCUUCCCAGAGUGAGUGAGGAUUUUUUUGCCUUUCCCCCACCUGGCAGCCCAGCCCUCUGCUGUGGCAGGGUGGCUGAGAAGUUUCGAGUUACAAUGCAGCGUAUUUAUUGUAGCUUAGGACAGUGGCUUUCACACGGUUCCUGCUGUCUCCCCAGAUCAAGUAGUACUAGAACGUAGUUUAGGGCAGGUGAGAUGGGCUCAGGUUGUGACAUGCUGUGCUGUUCACUGGGGAGAUCUCAGCGAGAACACAGAACACAGAAGGCCAACCCCACAGUAAUUGUUGGCUUAUGUACCUGAAUAUCACAUACUGAUCGUGUCAGGCCAUGAGGAACAUGCUAUGCUAUUAAGGUUUUAAAAAUAUCUUUUAAAAGCAUACACUUAACGCCCCUGAAUAGGUCCAGUUUUCAUAAUCAUAACUAGUGCUAUAAAUAAGCAUUCUCAUUCAUGAACCUUUUUAGGCACUUCUAGAUUCAACACGUAUAAAGCUCGUGAAAUGUAUUUACAAACUACCCUCCAAAAAAGUUGUAAGAAUUUUCAGGCUCACCAGGAGGUGCUGGAGGGCCUGCUUUCUUGUUUCCCCAGUGAUACUAGGUAGGAUUUCAUUUUUAACUUUGACCAUUCAGCAAGGAAAAAAGUGGAAAGAGAGAGAGACAACUAGUUUUAAUUGGCUUUUGAUUCUGGUAAUGGUAAUGGUAUUUCCUAGAUAUUUAUCGGUCGUUUGGAUUUCUUUCCUGCUUUGCCUGUCCAUGUUCACCCACGACCAUAAUCGCCCUCGUUGAGGGUGCGCUUGAAGCAUCUUGGAGAAGUAUCCGCUGAAGAGGUGCCUUCGGUGGACAUGUCCACUGGGGACUCGGGCACCGAUUUCCUUAGGCCCCUGCCCACGCUGAGCUCUAUUGUAGUUUUUGAUCUUUGCUGAGUUGGUAGUUGGACAUCCGGUUUGUGUUCCUGUACCGAGUGAGACUGAACCUGCUUUUGUUUGUAGAAGCCAUCCAUGGGUCAUUUUCUGGGAGCUCAUGUCCUUUGCCCAUCUGCUAUACUUUCUAACUAAACUGUCAUCUGUGAGGGUACCUUUGGUUUUUGUCUCUGUGUUUCACAAAAAGAUUUAAGGGAGGAAACAUCAAGAAGGGAAGGCUAACGGGUGAUCACACGUCCAUGUUGAGCUCUUUUGAUCACAACUGACAGCUAGCUGGCUUAGGUCAUCUUAGUUCGUGGAGGGCUUGACGUUCAUCAACCAGAAGUGGGGUUGGAGGGGAGGCCCUCUCAGAAAGGGAACUGCUGUGCAAGUGUCCUGGGGUUAGUAUAUGCCAGGGAGGAAGGUGCAAAUGCCUUCUUUUUUUGCAAAGAGUGCCUGCCCAGUUCCAAACUCCAGAUGCAAGGAUGAGCUGAGGGCCCAGUCCUCCCUCCCUGUCCUUCCCCAGGCCCUCUCCCAACUGUCCCCAAUUUUCACACAGCUCAUGUGCAUCUGAAUGGCAGGACGGAAUCACAAAGCAGUUUUGUCUUCCACUGUUUAAGAGUAAUCAGUAGGAGAGCUGCCCCUGCCCCUGGAUGAAAACUCAGCUGUGGGCAUCCAUGACUCUCCCGGGCACCCCUGGAUAAUAAAGCUUACAGGAGCACCGGGGGGCGCAGGCGCAGUUGGUUUAGCAUCUGACUCUUGAUUUCAGCUCAGGUCGGGAUCUCGGGGUCCUGAGAUCAAUCCCCGUGUCCGGCUCCGUGCCCAGUGCAGUCUGCUUGAGAUUCUCUCCCUCUCCCUCUGCUCUCCACCCCCCACCCCCGACUCCAGCUUGCUCUUGUGUUGUCUUUCUCUAAAAUCUCAAAAAGCUUAUGGUCAUUUUACAUUGCCCAAUGUGAUUCCUGUUCAGAAGUUGGGAUACCCCAUCUCGUCUAAGAGUCAAAGCCACAAGUAGUCACUGAAUGCCCCAACCGGCCCUCCAGCGUUGGAGCAGGAGCAGACCCCUCUGCCCCUCCUCCGGCUUCCAGCUCAGCCUUGCGUGAGAACUUCCCUUGAUGUGGCUAAUCCUCUCUCCUACCCACAGCUCGUCCUCCGCAGCUCCUAGGAAUCCAGCCAUCCCUCCAGCUUCCUUCUUCUAAGCCCUGUUCCCUAGGCUUAAGGUGUCGAGCUCCCCUCUGCCCCCGCCCCACCCCAACUCACAUAUGUGCACAUAUCCCCAAGGAGGAGAAGGGCUCAGUAUAACUCUGCAAAGAAACCAUCUCUACAAAUGAUCUUUUCAAGUAUGUACUCUUUGUUCUUUCAUGCCCGCAGUGGGUGUGGAUGAAAGAGGGAACGGUGUGGAAUGGGCCUGGCGCGAAGACAUCUGGACAGGAGGCUGGGCUCCUGCAGGAGUCCCCCUCCCCCCCUCCCCUUGUGAUGCUGCUUCUCACUGGGUGUUAGCAUCCUCCUUUCUGGUUGGGCCCUGUUUACGACAUGGAGCCCAAGCUCAGUCUAGUGUCUAUCAUGUGAAGUGUGAGGUCCUCGUUACAGCAACCCAAUGCCUAGAGUGAGAGGAAUGCCUGGCCAGCUUGGAAAAGCAAGGAGGUUAGUGGAGGGGAGGUGGUCAGCCUGCUGGGAAUGGUUGGGUAGGUUGCGUACUGCAAAACUCCAGGAGGUCUCAUUCGGUUCAUAGCCCAGGGAGAUACAUGGGCCUGAAAGCUCCACGGUGACCAGGAGCAUCUGAGCUAAGGCAGAAGGACUAAGGAUGCAGAGGAGGGACAGAAGCGACAGCUACUAGGAGAGAGAACUUGUGACUUGAUUGAGGGAGGGGUGGGGCAUGGAGGAGGCUUCUGGGUGGGUGAUAAUGACUCAUCUAGACGGAAAUCCAGAGGAGGUAGGGACAGGGUGGUGGGAAAGUGUGCAGAGAGGCCCUGAAGGGCCUAGGCCCCUCUGGGACCCCUGGGAGAGGUUAGCAGGUUACUGGUCUGAAGUGCAGGAACAAGUCCGGACUGGAAAAACUGCCCUGGGGAUCACCAGUGCAUAUUGGGAACUAGAGACAGGCCGGACUGGGUCACCCGGCAGAACACAGACCUGGAUUCCCAACUUAGGUGACAGCAGGCCUGGGGUGUGGAGGCCAUUUAUCUUCUUUUCCAAAGAAAGCAGAAUCCUGCAGCUGUGGCCACCACAGCUGUAGGGGGAGGAAGGCUGAGAGCGGAGCAGGGCAGCAUCUGGCAGAAAGGCAGAGCGGCUGGGGUGGGACGUGGCCCUGCCUGACCCGUGAAGAAACCACAUCUGGGUUUUUGCUUCACGAACUUGCGAACACGUGUCCUCACCGUGUCCGGGGGCUGGGGGAGAUGGACUGCUGCGGCCGCCCCUCACGGCACCCGAGCUUUGUACAGAAAUCAGAUGAAGAGAUGGCGGGUGGUGUACAGUGGGGUAUGAAUCGUGUUUGUUCAUUUCUGUCUUGGCCUUUGGACUCAAGGGUAUCUGAGGUCUCUGAACCGAAGACGAGAUCAGCCGUCCCUGCACGGUGGCAGUUCUUUGCCAAAAGCAGGCCGGCACGAGCGCAUACAGAGUCACUGGCUGAGGCCCGGCACACGCACCCCUCCUCGGCCUGCACCUCUGGCCAUCGGGCUCUGCAAAUCCUACCGCCACGCUAGCUCAGAAUGGACAAGGUCUCGUUCUGGAGCAGAGAAGGCCGACCUGGAGGCAUCUGGCAACUUGCCUGACUCCAAGCUAGUCAGUAGCCGAGAUGCAAUGAGGAUUCACAGCUCGUGUGUGUGUGAGUGUGUGUGUGUGUGUGUGUGCGCGCGCUUUUUGUGCAAAGACCUGUGUACUGAGCUGUGAAAUUAGCACAGUAUUUAUUGGCUUGCGUAGUCCAGAUAAGAGGCCUGGAGCUCAUGGGGUGACUUAAGCAAAGCCAAACUUCCCCCCCACUCAAGUGUUGCCUUUAUGAGUUGAAAAGUUUAAUUUGGAAGAGGGCAUAGUUUUCUCCAUGAUAUUAAUGUAAAAGCCCAGUAGAUCAUAUCUGUGAAUAUAUCUGAACUGCCCCAUCACAAGGGUAAACCUUUUGGACUAUUGCUACUGUUGUAUAACAUGUGGGUGUGGGCCUUUUGGGAUAAUUUACAGAUAGGCAAAGAGAUGAGAGGCAGGUGUUUCAAAACCAUGAACCAUCUUAUGGUUUAUUUUAACAGCCUCUGGAUUAAAAGCUCUCAGCCAUCAUAAAUGAAGAAGACAAGUAUGAACAGUAAAAGUCCUCUGCAAUGUGUGACGUAGAGUGAAGGCUGGUCUGAACUACCCCUUGGUAGCCGGUUCAUCCAAACCACGGGUUCCCUGUGCUCAGAGAACCAGAGUCGGCCUGGCCGUGAUGUUUCCCAACGCCAAAGGCAGCCCUUUCUCGCCCCCUGUGCACGGCUGGAGAACAUCUGCCUCUAAAUCCUCCGGGGCCAACCAGUCUCCCUGCGCCGAGGGAUUUCCACGAAGCCAGACGGGCUGGUCUGUCCCCAGUGUCCUUUAACCUAAGGACACCACUUCUACUUCGGGCUCUUGUGCGAUUCUGCGGACACACAGGGCCUGUGGUGAGACUUGUUAGCGGAGGGGACUGAAGUUUUGUAACCCAGCUUCGAGGUCCCCCGUGAACACAUCCCCCACGCUGUCUGUGCAGGUGCCUGACCUGACGCAGGCUUUGAGGGACCCUGGCUGAUCGUACAUGAAGCAGAGGGAAAAACAUUUGGGCAUCACCGGGACUUGGCAAGAAUGACUUAAAAAUGAUGCGGUGACCGAGCGGCCCGCCUCCCUGUGGUCUGCUUCGCCCAGCUGCUGACAGCUCCAGCCUCCCCUCGUGGGAGGAAAGUCAACUCAGAAUGUCCCCUCUCCACUGUUUCCCCCUUCCGAGAUCAGACAGUAAGACACACACACCCCUUUUCUGACCUCUGAGUGGAGUUGGGGUUAUUUGGAUUACAUAAUAAGAUCUCACUUUGAACAUUAGUCCAGUAAAUUUGAGACCUUAAAAGGUCUUUUCAAGGGCAGGCGACAGGGCCUUUUGGUACAUUUGUCUCUGGAUUUCUUCUACGUCCUGUUUUAUGUGUGGUUUGAUCAGCUGAUGGAUCAUGUGAUGUUUUGCUCCUUCAAAUGACAGAAAUAGAGACUCAGAAUAACCACACGGAGAAGCCUCUCAAAUGUUUACCAAACACGUUGCUCAAAAACAUGCUUUUCUACGGUUCACAUGCUUUUUAGAAAGAGCCGCGGGAGGGUGGCCGCGGGGAGCCACGGGUAUCACAGAACUGGCCGCACGUGGACCGCAGAGGUCUCCAGGCUACAAGGGGCCGUGUCUGCCGAAGCCCCUCCCGCCGACAAGAGGGGCCAGACUUCGAACACAAAAAGCCCCCUUUGCUGGGCUGUGCCUCGCUUUGUUUGGAAACUUCAUUCCUAUUUUUAGGGGUCAGCUCACCUGCAAAAUAAGAGGCCAGAAGUCACAGCUCCUUAGAACACAACAGCCCAUGCUGUCCUGGGCAUGGUUGUGCUUAGAGAUUCAUGGAAGUAGAAAGAUUUUUAAAUACAAGAACAUAUUUUUCAAGGUCAUGUCAUUGAAUAACAAGACUGUGAAUACUUUUUCUCUCGCAACACAGCCUCUUGGGCUCUCCCACUUCAGUCUGCAUUAAGGAAAGAGACUGGUCAAGAGAACUACUAAGUCUUCAAACCGUUUUGUUUCUAGACACUAAGAGUAUAAAAAAAAAAAAAGUUACUCUCUUCUUCCCCCCUUUCCUCCCAUAAGAAAAAAGCCCAAAUGGGGAGCAAUUAUGGUAGGGAGCUGUUGAGUUUUUUUCACUUGUUACUUGAAGCUAUCUUUGAAGAACUUUGGUCACACUUGGGAAAUGUAAUGACUAUCCCAACCCGAGAGAGGUCCAGAAAAGGCUGCCCGUGAGGACUGUAGAGCUGGACCCUGGCUGGGAAGUGCCUUGGGGUUUAGAGAACUUUCAACUGGAUGGAGCUUGACUCUGGUGGAGCCCCUCCCUGGCUUGCCUCCUCGUGGGCCCUGCCCUCUGCACCUCCCGAAGUUAUUUAUUGGUAGGACGCAAAGAAUGAAAAAGUGUAUUUGCUACCAUACCAAAGCUUUCCUCCGCCCCACCUGAUAUAUCCUAAACACUGAAAGCUAUUCUUUCUGAGGGUAUCAGCCCUUCAUGGACAUCUCCAAAGCCAAGCCACAUGCUCAGGCCGAGCCCAUGAAACAAACGCAGAACAAGAAGACCUUUGGGAGAAGGCGGACCCAACACAGGCAGCAAGGGGCCAUGCCUGGCUUCCACCCCGUUUUGUAAACCAAUGGCCCCCCAUGCCCAGAUGAAAGAAUCCAGUCAGGCGAGAGGUUCUGGCCAGUAGGCAAACCUCUCAACAGGCCCCUGAGCCUCAGGCCAACAGGUGCAGCCCUAUCAUGACUUCCCUGCAGCGAGUCUCGCCUGGUUCUUCCCGCUCACUUCUCGGGCAUCUGAUGCCCUGUGCUGGCAAGCUCUGAGUGGAAGAGAGCACACGACGCCUUCAUGCGUAGAAUGACCUGGCUUAGACCCUCAAUAAAAGCAAGGAGGCCUCUGUCCUGGGAAAACCUUCGGUAUAGAAAGACUGCUUUGAACUGCCCCAAUUCACUUCUCAGCAUUUGAAAACAGCUUUGUGCCCCAGUCGUUUCAGGUUAUAUUUGUCUACAAGGAUCACCCAACAUGGAGAAAGUCACGCUUGGUCUUUUCACAGUCCUUGACCUGUGACUUUCCCAGGCACCACGCCCUUCUAAUGAUACCUGUCCGCUAAGCGACUGGCAAGAAAAAAGAAACCUGUGUUGGGGAAAUUUUGUUUUUUUUUUGGCCAGCAAAGUCAAAGGUGUGGCCCUCCUUACUCUGAAAAGUGGGAUGGAGCAGUGUCGUGUCCCCCCUCCCCCUUCCGACCGCCUUUCCCAUCUGAGGGUGCCAACACCGUGUCCUGCUUUAGAAGCUAAGGUGUGCUAAGGUGUGCGUGGUAGGCCAUGAAUGAAGUUAGCCCACGUGGAGGAACUGUGUGAGGGACGGCGUGCUUCAAGGUGGAAGGUAUUGGACACGUCCCGCACGAUGUCUGUCGUCAUGGUCUGGGUGUGGGGUAGCUUCCCCUGUUCUCUGAGACAGUGGCCACAUAUUUAUGGCCCGUCAUCACCGACGGUGUCUCUGAGGUUUAGUGACACCUUCUAGUUGUGUAAUGAAGGCUCUCUAGCUGAGCUUUCCCUGACUUGGGAAGAGAUGGCUUUUUCAGUUUGAUCUUCACGCUCUACCCCCACAAGCAUGAGAUAGUCACACAUGUUAAAAAAUACUGCUGUUUAAUUUUCUAGUCAUGUACUUUUAAAAAGCUGAUACAAUUAGACGUUUUUUUCCCCAUCUUCUCAGAUCUGCCCCUGAAACCAGCCGAGAGCUACCCAUCUUGAUUCCCAGCACUCAUCUAUAUGGAGGAAAAGUCUCUCAGAGGAAGCACAUGAAAAUCUGUCCCCAUGGUGGACACACCCAAGGUCACUUGAUGUCCGGAAAUGUGAAUGCAGCCCUGUGAUGUUCAUGGCUGACUUUAUGCCCUUACAUUCUUUUUUUUUUUUUAAACGAGGAACAAUAUGAUUACACAGCACUGAAAACAAUAAACACGAAAGGCUUGCCUGUUU